Molecule: ribosomal RNA, 460 nt
Filed under: uncultured bacterium
Lineage: Bacteria
Description: partial 16S ribosomal RNA
Rfam family: Bacterial small subunit ribosomal RNA
Source: RNAcentral
CCUACGGGUGGCAGCAGUGAGGAAUAUUGGUCAAUGGCCGUAAGGCUGAACCAGCCAAGUCGCGUGAAGGAAGAAGGAUCUAUGGUUUGUAAACUUCUUUUAUAGGGGAAUAAAGGUAUCCACGUGUGGAUAUUUGCAUGUACCCUAUGAAUAAGCAUCGGCUAACUCCGUGCCAGCAGCCGCGGUAAUACGGGGGAUGCGAGCGUUAUCCGGAUUUGUUGGGUUUAAAGGGUGCGGAGGGUGUUUUUUAAGUCAGCGGUGAAAGUUUGUGGCUCAACCAUAAAAUUGCCGUUGAAACUGGAAGACUUGAGUGUGUUUGAGGUAGGCGGAAUGCGUGGUGUAGCGGUGAAAUGCAUAGAUAUCACGCAGAACUCCGAUUGCGAAGGCAGCUUACUAGGCCAUAACUGACACUGAAGCACGAAAGCGUGGGGAGCAAACAGGAUUAGAUACCCCUGUAGUC